UAACCACCGUGGGAUAAGCUAUUGCUUCGUUCUGCCCUAUUGCCAUCACUCUUCAUAUGCCGCCAGCAUUCCUUGCCUUAGGGCAGUCUCUCUUGUAGUGCCCAGCCUCACCACACCCAUAACACACUUGGCCCACACCGAAUCCAGGGACUUGGGUGAUUCCUUGUGCCGGUGCCUUACAGAAACGGGCAGUGUGCCCUUUCUUAUUGCAGUUGUUGCAGUGCAUCUACCUAUAAUUUCCGUUAUGAUGGAAAUUGCACUUGCUGCACUUUGGUAGGUUCCAAACAUAUUGCUUCGCUGGUGCAGAGGUAACAUGAGCAAUAGUGGGGGUAGUACCGGCAUGGACUGCCACUAUUGGUUGCUUCUUGGAAGGUUCCUAUGAAAACUGACUCUUCCUCUUGUUCCAAAGCUUCUUCUUGCUGUUUUUGUUGGUACUGAUGUUAUUGUUGUUGUUGUUUCCUAUGGUUUGCUCUGGAACAGCAGUUGCGAAGCCUUGGCAAACUCCAUGGUCAACGAGAGUUUGUGCCAACUAUUUGGCGCUAUUGAAAGUAACUGGUUUGGAAGUUAUUACACUUCCUCGAAUCUAGGGUGACAGUCCCCAGAUGUAUCUCUCAAUCGUCUUGCUCUCUAGAGCAACCAUCCUUGGGCAAAGGAUUCCUAAAUCACUAAAUCUAUUGGUAUAGGUUGUGAUGUGCGAUCCUACCAUAGUAAGGCCCCAAAGUUCCUGCUCUAGCUUUUGUAAUUCGCCCCUUGGAUAGUACUCUUGCAUUAACAUUUGCUUUAGAUUCUCCCAGCCCAUAGAAUUAGCCACUACCAGAGUUAGUGACUUGACAUGGCCAUUCCACCACGUCAGAGCUCUCUCGAAGAAUGUACAAGCAUCAAAUUUUACCUUGCUCACUUCCAGACAUGCACAAAUCUCAAAAACCGCUUUUGUUUUCUCUAUCCAUUGUGAUAGAGCCAUUAUCCCUCCGGAUCCAUUCAAAGAUAUGGGCUUCCUAUUGGUGAAGUCCUUGAAGGUGCAAUCUCCUGAACGACCCUAACGUUGGCCAUUCGUAGAGCUAUUUACUCCCCCUCCGGAACCAUUAUUACUCAUAUGUGCCAUUGUUGUUGUCAUUGCAGCUGUUAUAGUGGCUAUCAAGGCAACAUUAUCUGUUGAUGGAGGUGGUGGUGGUGGAGUUGUUGCGUUGUUAACACGACGUGUAGAACUAUGGGGCGGCGUCGUCCUGCUAAAGAAUUAGAAUGAAGAACAUAAGUCUUUAAUGAUUGGAAGCUGUGUGUUAAUAAAUUUGCUAUUUUAAUCAAUUUAUGAAUUUGACUGACCUAUCCAAGGUUUAGAGUUUGACUCAUAAUAAAAGUUUGCAUAGUGAUAGAUAAACUUAUGAAUCUGAGUGGUAUUCAAAGAAUUAAAAUACAAAGGAAUUUCUUCAUAUAUAUUAAACAUACGUUGAGUUACAUUUGAAGUUAGGAAAAUUUUGACCCUUCUAAGGGUCUCCAAUACAGAAGUUAAAGAAAAGUAAGACUUUUAGCCGAGUUGCUAUUCUAUAACAAAAUUUUUGGGAUUGGAGCAAGUACUACUUGCGACGUAGGUUGCGCUUGGAGCUCGACUCCGUGUCUGAUUGCUUUGCUUCCAUAAGACGCCUAUCGAAAACGGCUUGAUGUUCCCUCAUUUCCCUUAUCUCAGAGAGGCUGCAAUCAGUUGCACUUGGAAUGUUUCGGUGCGGAGUUGGGCAUCAUCCUGCAACCUGUCCAGUCGAUGGAUGUCAGAAGUGUGAACUUGUACUUCCACGUUGACUUCACAAAUCCAGUUAGCUUAAACACCAGAUUGAUAGGACUAGUUGGCUAGUUUGCCCACCAUGACUGGGAGUGUUCGGUCAGCUGAACCUCCAUUAGGGUUUUGGGAGCUGACCCGUUCUGGAUUGCGUUGAUUUUUGAAUGUUCCACGUGUAUCCCGUCUUUGCUAACCACGUGACCUAGGAAAAUCACUUUCCGAAUCCAAAAUUCUCACUUUGAAAAUAUUGUGUAUAGCUUCUCCUUUCUUAGCGUUUCCAAUAUUUUUCGGAGAUGUUGACCAUGCUCCUCUUCACUCUUAGUAUAUCUUCUAUGAACAAGAUCACAAAUUUUUCCAGGAAUGAAUGACACACUCGGUUCAUUAAGUCCAUGACCACCGCCGGUGCAUUUGUUAAUCCAAAGCGCAUCACUACAAACUUGUACUGACCAUAACGAGUUCGAAAGGCUGUUUUGGGAACAUCUCCUUCCAAGACUCGCAGCUGAUGAUACCCGGAUCUCAAAUCGAUCUUUGAGAAAUAACUAGCUCCUUGGAGUUGGUCGAGCAAGUUGUCAAUGCGUGGUAGGGGAUAUCGGUUCUUGAUAGUGUGCUUUUUGAGUUCCUGGUAAUCGAUGCACAUGCGGAAAGACCCAUCCUUCUUCUUUACGAACANUCUUUACGAACAUGACUGGUGCUUCCCAAGGUGAGAAACCCGAUCUGAUGAAUCCUUUGUUGAUUAGUUCAUUUAAUUGACUGGAUAAUUCAUGCAUCUCAGCUGGCACUAGACGAUACGGAGACUUAGCUACUGGGGUAGCUCCUGAACUUGACUUGUUGUUCUGGUGGGACUCCUGAAAGAUCUUCAGGGAAGACAUUGGGAAAAUCGCAGACUUCUGGAAUCUCUUUGAGGUCUUCCGCUUCUUUUUCCUUAUCUACUACGUGUGCUAAGAAGGCAUGGUACUCCUUAUGCAGGUAUUCUGGGCUUUAAGACAAGAGAUGAUCUGCAAAUUGGUACCGCGUUUUUCACCAUAAAUGACAAGAGUCUCAUAAUUUGGCAGAUUUAGCCGAACGUCCCUCUCAUGACAAAGUAUAUCGGCAUGGUGUAGGCUUAACCAUUCCAUACCAAUGAUGACAUCAAAGCUCUUUAUAGUGAUCGACAUUAGAUCGAUUUGAAAUGAAUGUUCGUUUAGAGUUAGCGUGUAGCCUAUGUACAUAUCGUUUGUGCUUUCUGUUCUACCGUUUGCCAUUUUUACUGUAAAUAUCUUAUUGAGUGAUUGAGGGUUCUGUUUUAGUAUGUGUUUGAAUUUAUGACUCACGAAACUCCUCUCCGCACCACAAUCAAAGAGUAUGCAUGCAUAAGCGUUAUUGAGGAGAAACGUACCCGUAACCACCGUGGGAUAAGCUAUUGCUUCGUUCUGCCCUAUUGCCAUCACUCUUCAUAUGCCGCCAGCAUUCCUUGCCUUAGGGCAGUCUCUCUUGUAGUGCCCAGCCUCACCACACCCAUAACACACUUGGCCCACACCGAAUCCAGGGACUUGGGUGAUUCCUUGUGCCGGUGCCUUACAGAAACGGGCAGUGUGCCCUUUCUUAUUGCAGUUGUUGCAGUGCAUCUACCUAUAAUUUCCGUUAUGAUGGAAAUUGCACUUGCUGCACUUUGGUAGGUUCCAAACAUAUUGCUUCGCUGGUGCAGAGGUAACAUGAGCAAUAGUGGGGGUAGUAC
This 3482-nucleotide long non-coding RNA is filed under the name Lactuca sativa (garden lettuce). Its description in RNAcentral is "long non-coding RNA (LSAT_LNC008513)". The record is from RNAcentral. Lineage: Eukaryota; Viridiplantae; Streptophyta; Magnoliopsida; Asterales; Asteraceae.